GGACUGUGGGAUUCAAAUAAAAGCUCUGGAUAUUUUGACCAAUUUCCUAACACUACUGCUGGCUUGGAGCCAACAGUAUUACUCUGGAGUUCAUCAGAGUGAGCCAUUUCCCUGCUGCAGACAGCCAGCACAUUCCUCUCUGCAGUCACCCGGCUAACCAUGCAGGUAGAGUCUUUAUACAGUCAGUGUUUGGCAGAGUCUCAGCAAUGCUGUAAGCCAUUCCACCUGUGUUAGAGACUGUACGACUGUUCCUCCACUGUGAUCGACCCUGCCAUCUCUCCUGCCUACCUACCUGUGGCCCCACAUCUCAGUGUCCAGCUUUCACGGCAUCCAUCCCCUUGUCUUUGAAGAGGUGGAGUGGAUCACCGGAAUCUUCGUCCUCUGGGUUGAUCAUCCCAGCCGGCUAGCAACCCUGUGUUAGCUAGAUUGGCUGUGGUUAAUGCUAGGUCGCUGGCAAAUAAGACCUUUAUUUUGAAUGACUUCUUCACCACUUGUGGCUUGGAUUUUCUCCUGGU
This is a long non-coding RNA of Oreochromis aureus, 515 nucleotides long. Lineage: Eukaryota; Metazoa; Chordata; Actinopteri; Cichliformes; Cichlidae. The record is from Ensembl.